Molecule: ribosomal RNA, 468 nt
Filed under: uncultured bacterium
Lineage: Bacteria
Description: partial 16S ribosomal RNA
Rfam family: Bacterial small subunit ribosomal RNA
Source: RNAcentral
GACGAACGCUGGCGGCGUGCUUAACACAUGCAAGUCGAACGGAAAGGCCCUGCUUUUGUGGGGUGCUCGAGUGGCGAACGGGUGAGUAACACGUGAGUAACCUGCCCUUGACUUUGGGAUAACUUCAGGAAACUGGGGCUAAUACCGGAUAGGAGCUCCUGCUGCAUGGUGGGGGUUGGAAAGUUUCGGCGGUUGGGGAUGGACUCGCGGCUUAUCAGCUUGUUGGUGGGGUAGUGGCUUACCAAGGCUUUGACGGGUAGCCGGCCUGAGAGGGUGACCGGCCACAUGGGGACUGGAAUACGGCCCAGCCUCCUCCGGGAGGCAGAAGUGGGGAAUAUUGCAAAAUGGGCGGAAGCCUGAUGCAGCACCGCCGCGUGCGGGAUGACGGCCUUCGGGUUGUAACCCGCUUUCGCCUGUGACGAAGCGUGAGUGAGGGUAAUGGGUAAAGAAGCCCGGGCUAACUAGGUG